This 457-nucleotide ribosomal RNA is filed under the name Burkholderia ubonensis. RNAcentral's name for it is "bacterial SSU rRNA". It matches the Rfam family "Bacterial small subunit ribosomal RNA", at positions 1 to 458 of the family's 1533-position model. Lineage: Bacteria; Pseudomonadati; Pseudomonadota; Betaproteobacteria; Burkholderiales; Burkholderiaceae. The record is from RNAcentral.
UUGAACUGAAGAGUUUGAUCCUGGCUCAGAUUGAACGCUGGCGGCAUGCCUUACACAUGCAAGUCGAACGGCAGCACGGGCUUCGGCCUGGUGGCGAGUGGCGAACGGGUGAGUAAUACAUCGGAACAUGUCCUGUAGUGGGGGAUAGCCCGGCGAAAGCCGGAUUAAUACCGCAUACGAUCCACGGAUGAAAGCGGGGGACCUUCGGGCCUCGCGCUAUAGGGUUGGCCGAUGGCUGAUUAGCUAGUUGGUGGGGUAAAGGCCUACCAAGGCGACGAUCAGUAGCUGGUCUGAGAGGACGACCAGCCACACUGGGACUGAGACACGGCCCAGACUCCUACGGGAGGCAGCAGUGGGGAAUUUUGGACAAUGGGGGCAACCCUGAUCCAGCAAUGCCGCGUGUGUGAAGAAGGCCUUCGGGUUGUAAAGCACUUUUGUCCGGAAAGAAAUCCUUGGC